CCUACGGGUGGCAGCAGUCGAGAAUCAUUCACAAUGGGGGAAACCCUGAUGGUGCGACGCCGCGUGGGGGAAUGAAGGUCUUCGGAUUGUAAACCCCUGUCAUGUGGGAGCAAAUUAAAAAGAUAGUACCACAAGAGGAAGAGACGGCUAACUCUGUGCCAGCAGCCGCGGUAAUACAGAGGGCUCAAGCGUUGUUCGGAAUCACUGGGCGUAAAGCGUGCGUAGGCUGUUUCGUAAGUCGUGUGUGAAAGGCGCGGGCUCAACCCGCGGACGGCACAUGAUACUGCGAGACUAGAGUAAGGGAGGGGGAACCGGAAUUCUCGGUGGAGCAGUGAAAUGCGUAGAUAUCGAGAGGAACACUCGUGGCGAAGGCGGGUUCCUGGACAUUAACUGACGCUGAGGCACGAAGGCCAGGGGAGCGAAAGGGAUUAGAUACCCCAGUAGUC
RNAcentral lists this ribosomal RNA (446 nucleotides) under uncultured bacterium. RNAcentral's name for it is "partial 16S ribosomal RNA". It matches the Rfam family "Bacterial small subunit ribosomal RNA", at positions 338 to 795 of the family's 1533-position model. The record is from RNAcentral.